RNAcentral lists this unclassified non-coding RNA (557 nucleotides) under Phoma herbarum. RNAcentral's name for it is "sequence contains ITS1, 5.8S rRNA gene, ITS2". The stretch from base 195 to 348 matches the Rfam family "5.8S ribosomal RNA". Lineage: Eukaryota; Fungi; Ascomycota; Dothideomycetes; Pleosporales; Didymellaceae. The record is from RNAcentral.
UGGAAGUUAAAAAUUUAACAAGGUUUCCGUAGGUGAACCUGCGGAAGGAUCAUUACCUAGAGUUUGUGGGCUUUGCCUGCUAUCUCUUACCCAUGUCUUUUGAGUACUUACGUUUCCUCGGUGGGUUCGCCCGCCGAUUGGACAAUUUAAACCCUUUGCAGUUGCAAUCAGCGUCUGAAAAACAUAAUAGUUACAACUUUCAACAACGGAUCUCUUGGUUCUGGCAUCGAUGAAGAACGCAGCGAAAUGCGAUAAGUAGUGUGAAUUGCAGAAUUCAGUGAAUCAUCGAAUCUUUGAACGCACAUUGCGCCCCUUGGUAUUCCAUGGGGCAUGCCUGUUCGAGCGUCAUUUGUACCUUCAAGCAUUGCUUGGUGUUGGGUGUUUGUCUCGCCUUUGCGUGUAGACUCGCCUUAAAACAAUUGGCAGCCGGCGUAUUGAUUUCGGAGCGCAGUACAUCUCGCGCUUUGCACUCAUAACGACGACGUCCAAAAGUACAUUUUAACACUCUUGACCUCGGAUCAGGUAGGGAUACCCGCUGAACUUAAGCAUAUCAAUAA